AGCGAACGCUGGCGGCAGGCCUAACACAUGCAAGUCGAACGGAUCCUUCGGGAUUAGUGGCGGACGGGUGAGUAACACGUGGGAACGUGCCCUUUGGUUCGGAACAACUCAGGGAAACUUGAGCUAAUACCGGAUGUGCCCUUCGGGGGAAAGAUUUAUCGCCAUUGGAGCGGCCCGCGUCUGAUUAGCUAGUUGGUGAGGUAACGGCCCACCAAGGCGACGAUCAGUAGCUGGUCUGAGAGGAUGAUCAGCCACACUGGGACUGAGACACGGCCCAGACUCCUACGGGAGGCAGCAGUGGGGAAUCCUGCGCAAUGGGCGAAAGCCUGACGCAGCCAUGCCGCGUGAAUGAUGAAGGUCUUGGGAUUGUAAAAUUCUUUCAGCGGGGACGAUAAUGACGGUACCCGCAGAAGAAGCUCCGGCUAACUUCGUG
Molecule: ribosomal RNA, 433 nt
Filed under: uncultured bacterium
Lineage: Bacteria
Description: partial 16S ribosomal RNA
Rfam family: Bacterial small subunit ribosomal RNA
Source: RNAcentral